GUUGUUUUUAUCUUAACUUUGAAAGUUUUGUUUGGUCACUCCGUACAACU
RNAcentral lists this transfer RNA (50 nucleotides) under Histiostoma blomquisti. Its description in RNAcentral is "tRNA-Ser". The record is from RNAcentral. Lineage: Eukaryota; Metazoa; Arthropoda; Arachnida; Sarcoptiformes; Histiostomatidae.